GAUGAAGAACGCAGCAAAAUGCGAUAAGUAAUGUGAAUUGCAGAAUUCAGUGAAUCAUCGAAUCUUUGAACGCACAUUGCGCCCGCCAGUAUUCUGGCGGGCAUGCCUGUUCGAGCGUCAUUUCAACCCUCAAGCACAGCUUGGUGUUGGGACUCGCGUUAAUUCGCGUUCCCCAAAUUGAUUGGCGGUCACGUCGAGCUUCCAUAGCGUAGUAGUAAAACCCUCGUUACUGGUAAUCGUCGCGGCCACGCCGUUAAACCCCAUCUUCUGAAUGUUGACCUCGGAUCAGGUAGGAAUACCCGCUGAAUUUAAGCAUAUCAAUAAGCGGAGGA
Molecule: unclassified non-coding RNA, 332 nt
Filed under: soil metagenome
Description: partial contains 5.8S ribosomal RNA, internal transcribed spacer 2, and large subunit ribosomal RNA
Rfam family: 5.8S ribosomal RNA (bases 1-120)
Source: RNAcentral